UACGGAGGGUGCAAGCGUUAUCCGGAUUUACUGGGUUUAAAGGGUGCGUAGGUGGAUUUGUAGGUCAGUGGUGAAAUCUCCGGGCUUAACCCGGAAACUGCCAUUGAUACUAUAAGUCUUGAAUUAUCUGGAGGUAAGCGGAAUAUGUCAUGUAGCGGUGAAAUGCUUAGAUAUGACAUAGAACACCAAUUGCGAAGGCAGCUUACUACGGAUAUAUUGACACUGAGGCACGAAAGCGUGGGGAUCAAACAGG
This 253-nucleotide ribosomal RNA is filed under the name uncultured bacterium. RNAcentral's name for it is "partial 16S ribosomal RNA". It matches the Rfam family "Bacterial small subunit ribosomal RNA", at positions 524 to 776 of the family's 1533-position model. The record is from RNAcentral.